UGGUAGAGCUCCAGCCAUCUCAAGUAUUGUUAAGUAUUUUCUCGUUUGACUUUUGCUAACCUGCCUGUGUCUUCUUGUACGCCAGAUCGAGACUACAUGGAUAUUACCCAGGCUGGAUCGUCGUACAGCUUUGUUAAGCUCACUUUGUCUCGGACCUUUGGAGUACCUGAGCUUCACAGUUGUUAUCGUUCUACUGGACUAACUUUGCUGGUUGCUGCCAGGUGCCUCUUGCCUCACACCGAUUCCACAGAACCUGUCCACCCUCCACCGCUCACAAGCGACCCAGCUCCAGCACCGUACCACCACUCGCUGUUGCACACUCCUGGUUUGGAGCCUUCGUUCUCACCGCACUGUGUGCUCAUUCCGGUCUGUCUGAAUCCUCCUACUCCUGGCAGAGAACUCACCCAGCCUACCUCGCCAUGUACCAUUGCAACCAGUAUUCCUGUAUUCAAUAAACUUUCCUGUUUCUCCUGAGCAUUUCCUAAAUAACUCGGGUGUUUAACGGUUCUGACAGAAACAACAAACCCGAAACGUUUCCAAAGCGGCUGCAAAGUAAGAGACGACUUACAGGAAUGAGAAACUGAGCUGCUCCCAGAUAUAUGUUACUCACCACUCAAAGACAUCAUUUUACACAGCCCUGCCAACAUCUGAGGACAAAUUCAUUUUUGAAGUUAUUUCUAUUAGUCCCACACAUUAGCUUAAAAUGGCAUUUUUGUUCAGAUGUUAAAAUACAUGAGACUUGUUCCACACAUCGGAGAAUAUUAUGUUUGCAAGUUUCCUGUGGGAUUUUAGGCUGUUUUGAUUUCUCAUUCUAGUGCUACAAUAACAGAUUUACAUCUGUAUUCCUCCUUCUGUAUAAUGGACUCUUUACGAUCUUGUGAUCAACUGAGUGAGCAGAUUGGUUCCAGAUCAGAUGUCAUUAUGAUGGCUCUGCAGGGUAAAAACACAUCUGACAUCCACAAAUCUACACUCAUUAUUGAAUUUGCUAACCCUCCAUUCUUCUCUGUCCGGUAAAUUUGUGUUUAAUGCUGGAAUAAUUCUAUGAAUUUCAAUGACUCAUCCUCUGUGACCCAUCUAACACUGAUAAGACUGGAUUUAAGAGUGAGAUUUCCGACUUGGCCUUAAUGUUGCAUAAAACUAAAUUACAUAACAUCAUGAUAAGCAAGGAUCAGUGUCAUAAAAUGCCUUAAAAUAGCACAUGUUCCCUGGAAUGAGCAUCUGCUGUGUUCAUGUUGAAUUUGCUCACAGUCAGACCAACUGCAUUUUGGUUUGUUUUGUCCUUUGACUUAACAUCAGUGUUACCAGAGAGCUCCAGCAUGUUCAAAUAUAGACAUUGCAAUCAUCUGUGCAGCUAAAUCAUUUUUAUUUGACAGAUUGUUUUCUGUUCCUUAAGUUCCUCUCCAGUCUCAGGUUCUUCUCUGUCCUGUGUUGGUCUGGUCUCUUCCGUCAUUUCAUCAGCAGGACCUGUAAGCCUGAGGUUUGAGGUUUGCACAGCAUGCAUUUACUCACAUGAUAAGGUCAAAUGUCAGGACUGAUCAGCAGUAGGUCGCUCUAAACUACUGAACAGCAGAUUUACUGGAUUUUCUGUAGGAAUCAUGCAUCUAUGCACAGAUGUGUUCUGUCCAAGUCCAGUAAACCUUUUUAAAGGGAGAUUUGUUCUAUUUUAGGAGAAAUUUCCUUUGUACAACUGAUUUCAUUUCAAACGUGCAGAACAGAUGUUUGUUUUCUGUGUUCCUCUCAUCUGCCAACUAAUUAUCUUCUACCCUGAAGAACACACUGUACAAAAUGCUCUUCUAAACUCAGGGCUGUUUUUGAAGUUUUUGGACGCAUCCCUGGUUUGCAAAAUCUGUUCGUUACAAAGAAAAAACAAUUCCUCUUUAGUUCAUAAAAAGAAAUGACAGAAUAAAGUUGUAGGACAAUUACGUCUCCAAAGAUUAUUUGCAUAUUCUCAUGGCCCUUCACCAGGGGUGCCCAAAGUGCAGUUCAAGGCCCCUGGUGGGCCUUGGAAUAAUUUUGUGCGGCCCCAGACUGCAGUUCAACAUCUGGCCUGCUAGCAAAUGGAGCUAAUGCAGAUGCAGACAUUUUGUAUCAUGAGAUUUUCAAUACAAGUUUAUAUCUUCUUAAAUGGAAAUUGAUAGCUACAACGGCAGAUUUUUCUUUUAUUCACCAUGAUUUCUAGCUUUCAUUUUGAUAUUGUAGUAAGUUGGGCCACAAACACCCAGUUGCUUUUUAUAAACAACCUCGGGCUGGACCCGUUCAUUAAACUUGGCUAAAAACAGGUUUUUUGUUCCAACCGCAAACCUCAUUGUACCUAUUUUUAUGUGAUAGACCAAGAUCAAGUAGAGCAGUAGAUGAGUAGAACUGUGAUAAAGAAGGAAACAAAUAUCUGCAUUUUAAUUAUUUUUACAUAUAGCCACCUAAACUGUGGCAUGCGACUGUUUUAAGCCAUCUUUACUUUUAUAAUCCCAAAUAAAUUACAUUGCAACUAAUCACCUUCAAAUUCACCUAUGUAGUAAAUAUUGUAAGGUCCACCUGUGUCAUUUAAUUUAACUGCAGAUGUUGUUUCUGGCCUCUGAAGUUUGCAAGAGACCAAGGAACACAGCAGACAGUUCAGGGAGAACAUUGUGGAGAAGUUUUAAAAAAAAGAUUUUCAAACUUCUUCAGCAAACCUCUACAGCAAAAAGAGGUUCUACAAGAUACUGACUCAGAAAGAUAAACAGAAAUGCAGGCCACACUUUUCAAAUAUUUAUAUACCAAUAUAAUUAUGCAUCCUUUUCCUUGCACUUCAUAACUUUGCACUAUCUUUUGGUUUAUCACAUAAAAUCCCAAUAGAAAACACUGAAUGAGCUCUGUUCACUUAGGCAGCACUGAGUUGCAUGCCAGGCCCUGGUUGGUGCAGAAGUCAAAGCAGAUUCAAAGUUUCUUGAUUAGGUAAUAUAUGUGCCAAACACUGUUCUGUUGUCUUUUGUUGAGUAUUUAUUGCACAUUAGGGUAGUGAAAUUAAAUACAAGUACAAAUAAACUUGUGCUUCCUCUGAAUGUUUCAACACAAGAGCUAAAAUUAUUUCUGUUUCUGAGAACCUGGAGAAAGAAGACCUAAACAUUUCUGUCAUUCCUACACUUUGAACACUGUGACAUUUUUAAGCCUUCUGGUUGUAAUCUGAUGAAAAUAAAGUGACAAGAACAUGACAGUUUCAACAGCAAUUACAUCUGUGCCCGGGGCACUUCACCCUACCCUGCUCACCUAAGUCAACUGUCAGAACCUACCUCACACACCUGCCUGCCAGGUUACAAGAGCAAGACUUGUUGCCUCCCAUUGUGUCUGUCUGACGCUCCGCCUGCAGAUCACUUCCACAAACUUCAGAAACCAACACAACUGUGUUUGUGCACAAAACGUUAACUAAAGUGAAAUCUUCUCGUUUAAUUUAGGUAUGAGCCACCUUAGGAUUUCAAGAAAGAUUUUGUUUACUUCUUUGCACUUUUAUCUAAAAAUUACAAUGAAGCUGCCUCAUCUUUUAAACUUAAAAACCUUCAGUCAUGCAAUUAAUACUCGAUGUUAACUUUUUUACCACCUGAUUUUUACCCCUGCCUUUCAUCAGAUAGAUUGAAUGUGUACAGAUUUAAUCAACCCAGAACAUUUUUAUCUGUUUCAGUAACAAACUGUGGUCUGCAUGUAAACUUUAACACAUGGAAUCUAGCUCAUGUAACCUAAACAGUUUCUUUCUGUUUCUGUUUCCCUGUCUGCUGGUCUUUGUCCAUGUUUCUCACCUUUUUACCACAAAUAAAACAUCUCAGUCCACCUCAA
Molecule: long non-coding RNA, 3804 nt
Organism: Girardinichthys multiradiatus
Lineage: Eukaryota; Metazoa; Chordata; Actinopteri; Cyprinodontiformes; Goodeidae
Exons: 3
Source: RefSeq, a predicted model, not a curated record